Molecule: unclassified non-coding RNA, 391 nt
Filed under: soil metagenome
Description: partial contains 5.8S ribosomal RNA, internal transcribed spacer 2, and large subunit ribosomal RNA
Rfam family: 5.8S ribosomal RNA (bases 1-122)
Source: RNAcentral
GAUGAAGAACGCAGCGAAAUGCGAUACUUGGUGUGAAUUGCAGAAUCCCGUGAACCAUCGAGUCUUUGAACGCAAGUUGCGCCCGAAGCCAUUAGGCCGAGGGCACGCCUGCCUGGGCGUCACACGUCGUUGCCCCCCCAUCUAAUCCUUCGGGAUUGCGGGGGGCGGAUGAUGGCCUCCCGUGCGCCUCGUCGCGCGGUUGGCCUAAAUGCCAAGUCCUCGGCGACGCACGCCACGACAAUCGGUGGUUGCGAAACCUCGGUUGCCUGUCGUGUGCGGUCGUCGCGCAUCGAGGGCUCGAAAAAAUUGCCGGGCUUCGGCUCGACUUUCAACGCGACCCCAGGUCAGGCGGGGUUACCCGCUGAAUUUAAGCAUAUCAAUAAGCGGAGGA